This 748-nucleotide ribosomal RNA is filed under the name Enterococcus sp. FBPers-11_16-27. Its description in RNAcentral is "bacterial SSU rRNA". It matches the Rfam family "Bacterial small subunit ribosomal RNA", at positions 74 to 801 of the family's 1533-position model. Lineage: Bacteria; Bacillati; Bacillota; Bacilli; Lactobacillales; Enterococcaceae. The record is from RNAcentral.
CGGAGCUUGCUCCACCGGAAAAAGARGAGUGGCGAACGGGUGAGUAACACGUGGGUAACCUGCCCAUCAGAAGGGGAUAACACUUGGAAACAGGUGCUAAUACCGUAUAACAAUCGAAACCGCAUGGUUUUGAUUUGAAAGGCGCUUUCGGGUGUCGCUGAUGGAUGGACCCGCGGUGCAUUAGCUAGUUGGUGAGGUAACGGCUCACCAAGGCCACGAUGCAUAGCCGACCUGAGAGGGUGAUCGGCCACAUUGGGACUGAGACACGGCCCAAACUCCUACGGGAGGCAGCAGUAGGGAAUCUUCGGCAAUGGACGAAAGUCUGACCGAGCAACGCCGCGUGAGUGAAGAAGGUUUUCGGAUCGUAAAACUCUGUUGUUAGAGAAGAACAAGGAUGAGAGUAACUGUUCAUCCCUUGACGGUAUCUAACCAGAAAGCCACGGCUAACUACGUGCCAGCAGCCGCGGUAAUACGUAGGUGGCAAGCGUUGUCCGGAUUUAUUGGGCGUAAAGCGAGCGCAGGCGGUUUCUUAAGUCUGAUGUGAAAGCCCCCGGCUCAACCGGGGAGGGUCAUUGGAAACUGGGAGACUUGAGUGCAGAAGAGGAGAGUGGAAUUCCAUGUGUAGCGGUGAAAUGCGUAGAUAUAUGGAGGAACACCAGUGGCGAAGGCGGCUCUCUGGUCUGUAACUGACGCUGAGGCUCGAAAGCGUGGGGAGCAAACAGGAUUAGAUACCCUGGUAGUCCACGCC